This is a non-coding RNA of Potamilus streckersoni, 77 nucleotides long. NCBI's taxonomy places the organism in Eukaryota, Metazoa, Mollusca, Bivalvia, Unionida, Unionidae. The record is from the annotation of a GenBank genome assembly.
GACCGCUCAGGUGGCCUAAUGGUUAGAGCGUUCGCCUAGGACGCGAGAGGUCAUGGAUUCGAACCCCGACUGAGUCU